UGUAUAAUGGGUCAGCGACUUAUAUUCUGUAGCAAGGUUAACCGAAUAGGGGAGCCGAAGGGAAACCGAGUCUUAACUGGGCGUUAAGUUGCAGGGUAUAGACCCGAAACCCGGUGAUCUAGCCAUGGGCAGGUUGAAGGUUGGGUAACACUAACUGGAGGACCGAACCGACUAAUGUUGAAAAAUUAGCGGAUGACUUGUGGCUGGGGGUGAAAGGCCAAUCAAACCGGGAGAUAGCUGGUUCUCCCCGAAAGCUAUUUAGGUAGCGCCUCGUGAAUUCAUCUCCGGGGGUAGAGCACUGUUUCGGCAAGGGGGUCAUCCCGACUUACCAACCCGAUGCAAACUGCGAAUACCGGAGAAUGUUAUCACGGGAGACACACGGCGGGUGCUAACGUCCGUCGUGAAGAGGGAAACAACCCAGACCGCCAGCUAAGGUCCCAAAGUCAUGGUUAAGUGGGAAACGAUGUGGGAAGGCCCAGACAGCCAGGAUGUUGGCUUAGAAGCAGCCAUCAUUUAAAGAAAGCGUAAUAGCUCACUGGUCGAGUCGGCCUGCGCGGAAGAUGUAACGGGGCUAAACCAUGCACCGAAGCUGCGGCAGCGACGCUUAUGCGUUGUUGGGUAGGGGAGCGUUCUGUAAGCCUGCGAAGGUGUGCUGUGAGGCAUGCUGGAGGUAUCAGAAGUGCGAAUGCUGACAUAAGUAACGAUAAAGCGGGUGAAAAGCCCGCUCGCCGGAAGACCAAGGGUUCCUGUCCAACGUUAAUCGGGGCAGGGUGAGUCGACCCCUAAGGCGAGGCCGAAAGGCGUAGUCGAUGGGAAACAGGUUAAUAUUCCUGUACUUGGUGUUACUGCGAAGGGGGGACGGAGAAGGCUAUGUUGGCCGGGCGACGGUUGUCCCGGUUUAAGCGUGUAGGCUGGUUUUCCAGGCAAAUCCGGAAAAUCAAGGCUGAGGCGUGAUGACGAGGCACUACGGUGCUGAAGCAACAAAUGCCCUGCUUCCAGGAAAAGCCUCUAAGCAUCAGGUAACAUCAAAUCGUACCCCAAACCGACACAGGUGGUCAGGUAGAGAAUACCAAGGCGCUUGAGAGAACUCGGGUGAAGGAACUAGGCAAAAUGGUGCCGUAACUUCGGGAGAAGGCACGCUGAUAUGUAGGUGAAGUCCCUCGCGGAUGGAGCUGAAAUCAGUCGAAGAUACCAGCUGGCUGCAACUGUUUAUUAAAAACACAGCACUGUGCAAACACGAAAGUGGACGUAUACGGUGUGACGCCUGCCCGGUGCCGGAAGGUUAAUUGAUGGGGUCAGCGCAAGCGAAGCUCUUGAUCGAAGCCCCGGUAAACGGCGGCCGUAACUAUAACGGUCCUAAGGUAGCGAAAUUCCUUGUCGGGUAAGUUCCGACCUGCACGAAUGGCGUAAUGAUGGCCAGGCUGUCUCCACCCGAGACUCAGUGAAAUUGAACUCGCUGUGAAGAUGCAGUGUACCCGCGGCAAGACGGAAAGACCCCGUGAACCUUUACUAUAGCUUGACACUGAACAUUGAGCCUUGAUGUGUAGGAUAGGUGGGAGGCUU
RNAcentral lists this ribosomal RNA (1563 nucleotides) under Escherichia coli. RNAcentral describes it as "partial 23S ribosomal RNA". It matches the Rfam family "Bacterial large subunit ribosomal RNA", at positions 609 to 2157 of the family's 2925-position model. The record is from RNAcentral. Lineage: Bacteria; Pseudomonadati; Pseudomonadota; Gammaproteobacteria; Enterobacterales; Enterobacteriaceae.